UACGUAGGUGGCAAGCGUUUGUCCGGAUUUAUUGGGUUUAAAGGGUGCGUAGGCGGUUUUGUAAGUCAGUGGUGAAAUACUCCAGCUUAACUGGAGGGGUGCCAAUGAUACUGCAGAACUUGAGUACAGAUGAGGUAGGCGGAAUUGACGGUGUAGCGGUGAAAUGCAUAGAUAUCGUCAAGAACACCGAUAGCGAAGGCAGCUUACUGGGCUGUAACUGACGCUGAGGCACGAAAGUGUGGGGAUCAAACAGG
RNAcentral lists this ribosomal RNA (254 nucleotides) under uncultured bacterium. RNAcentral describes it as "partial 16S ribosomal RNA". It matches the Rfam family "Bacterial small subunit ribosomal RNA", at positions 524 to 776 of the family's 1533-position model. The record is from RNAcentral.